RNAcentral lists this long non-coding RNA (18882 nucleotides) under Fragaria vesca (wild strawberry). Its description in RNAcentral is "long non-coding RNA (FVES_LNC001129)". The record is from RNAcentral. Lineage: Eukaryota; Viridiplantae; Streptophyta; Magnoliopsida; Rosales; Rosaceae.
AAUUCUGUAAAUUUUCAGCCAAUUUGGUGAUCGUUAAGAUGUCGAACAAGAUUAAAUCAAUGAACGAACCAAAUCUGCCAGACCUGAACCGUUCAUGCUUAUAAUUAAAAAUCGUAGUUUUGAAUGCCUUAACGAUCACCAAAAUUUCUAAAAAUUUGCAGAAGUGAUCUACUCAUAUAUAACUACAUAUUGAACGGUGGAGAUGUGAUUUUGUGAUCAAAAAGUUGGUGUAAUCCCCCAUCCCUCAUAUAUGUCAAAAAAAGGGAUCCCUCAUUGGAAGGGCCCUGAUUAAGAAGUGUAGGUAAAAAAUAGUUAUAAGUUAGUUGUAUGUUAGACAAUUAUAUAAGAUUUUACCUUUCAGAUUCGUAAAAAAGAAAUAUAUAUCAUAAAGAUGCGAACAUGAACAACUUGGAUGCUUAGCAAGGUUGGUUGUGGCAUUAACCUUGUAUCAGGCCAAACAAGGUUCGAAACCUGUUGGCAGCAUAAUUUGGUUUUUAGUUUGGAGAAUGGAGACGAGGAGGAGCGAGUUUUCAAGGUCAAGACAAGCCAGUACAGACUGCAGAGUGGGACACGAAGACCAGCCAGUGCAGAGUGGGACCAGCUAGUGCAGACUGCAGAGUGGGACACGAAGACCAACCAGUGCAGAGUGGAACACGUGGGGUGCAGCAGUCCAUGAGCAUAGUGACUUUUCUGGAAUAUUCCGGAAAUAUAGGUCAGAAAUCGAAUAUUUCGCGAUAUAUCGAUAGUUUCGGACCAAAAUUUUUGGGGUGAGAAAAAAAUUCGGUGAGUGAAAAAAACGAUAUUUUCGACGAAAUAUCGCCGAAAAUAUCGAUUUUUUCUUCCUUGGCCUUGACCCACCUUGUCCCGCCUUGGGCUGCCUUGACUCGUCUUGAGCCGCCUUGACCCGCCUUACGCCUCUUUGACCCAUCUAAGUCUACUAAGAGGCCGCCUUCACCCAUCUAGGGCCAUUAAGGGACCACGUUCACCUGUCUAAAGCCUCCAAGGGGCCGAGUUAGCCCAUCUUGACCCGCCAAGGGGGCUGUCUUGACCUUCCUAGACCCGCCCAAGGCCGCCUUGACCCUCCUAGGCCCAUCUUGACCCUCUUAAGGCUGCCAAAAGGCCGUCUUAACCCAUCUAGGACCGCCUUGGUAGGGCUGCCAAGGGGCCGCGUUCACCCGUCUAAGGCCAAGGGGCUGCCUUGACCCUCCUAGACCCUCAUAGGGCAACCUUAACCUACCUAGGGCCGCUAAGGGGCCGCAUUCACCCGUCUAAGGCUGCAAAGGGCCGUCUUGACCAGCUAAGGGACUGCCUUGGCCCUCCUAGACCCACCUAGGGAUGCCUUGACCCUUUUAGGCCCACCCAGGGCCACCAAGGGGCCGCCUUGACCCACCUUGGCCCGUCUUGGGUACCUUGACCCACGUUGGCCCACCUUGACACGUCUAGGGCCGCUUUGACCCACCUUGACCCGCCUUGGCCCGCUUUGACCCUCUUUGGCCAGCUUUAACACGCCUUGGGCUGCCUUAACCCGCCUUGGGCCGCCAUGACCCUCCUAGACCCUCCUAGGGCCGGCUUGACCUGCCUAGGGACGCUAAGCGGCCGCCUUGACCCGUCUAGGGCAGCCAANNNNNNNNNNNNNNNNNNNNNNNNNNNNNNNNNNNNNNNNNNNNNNNNNNNNNNNNNNNNNNNNNNNNNNNNNNNNNNNNNNNNNNNNNNNNNNNNNNNNNNNNNNNNNNNNNNNNNNNNNNNNNNNNNNNNNNNNNNNNNNNNNNNNNNNNNNNNNNNNNNNNNNNNNNNNNNNNNNNNNNNNNNNNNNNNNNNNNNNNNNNNNNNNNNNNNNNNNNNNNNNNNNNNNNNNNNNNNNNNNNNNNNNNNNNNNNNNNNNNNNNNNNNNNNNNNNNNNNNNNNNNNNNNNNNNNNNNNNNNNNNNNNNNNNNNNNNNNNNNNNNNNNNNNNNNNNNNNNNNNNNNNNNNNNNNNNNNNNNNNNNNNNNNNNNNNNNNNNNNNNNNNNNNNNNNNNNNNNNNNNNNNNNNNNCCUGGAAGAAAAAUCACCAAACCCAAACACUUCUAAAACAAUUCAAUCCACAUCUUCUGGAGCCAUCCGCUCCCCCAAAUAAACAUCCACCACCUCAACCAACAUAAUAAAUCGAAAUAAUUUCAUGAAUUUAAUCUCUCAUAUAACAUACCAAAUAAACCUUUUUCAACACUCAUAGAUGGAGUCACAAGCUCUUAACUCACAACAUUAACAACAACAACAACAACACUUAAAACAUCCAAGGUUAUCAGAGCAACUACUAGGAAAGAAGAAAAUACAUAGGUAGGUUAACUAGUAACCUAUGAGAGAAACUGGAUGAGGUGGAAAAUAUGACUCGCCUCCUACCCUCGCCGAACAGAACUCUGCAGACUGGGCAUUUAAAACGAAAGGCCCAGGGGAAAGCAUUUAAAACGUUAGAGUGAGUGGACAAAAUAAAUAAUAAAAAUACGGACUUAAUGACAGAGCAUUGAAAUCAAUUUAACGCUUUUCCCAUAUUUUCCAUUGAGAAAAUAUUUAUUUUAUGCAUGCCAUUCUUGGAAAUCUUUCCGAAAAUAAUUAUAGACAAAACUAAUGAACCAAUUCCAUUGGUUCCUAAUAAAUCAAUAAAAAUAGGGAAGAUGUUUCACCAUAACAAUGAGCCUCUCAGGCUAUAAUAGCGUCCCACGCUAAGCGCUCUACUCACAUAUGAUGAGGACCGCUUAAAAAGUUAUAAUAGCGUCCCACGCUAAGCGCUCAACUCUCAUAUGAUGAGGACCGCUAAAUAAUGGCUAGCGUAACAAUAAAUAUAUAUAUAUACCGAUCGGUUGCCUCCCAGGCUAUAAUAGCGUCCCACGCUAAGCGCUCUACCCACAUAUGAUGAGUACCGCUAAUAAGACUAUGAUAGCGACUCACAUAUGAUGAGGACCGCUAAUAAGGUUAGCUAGCAAUAAUCUAUAUAUCAACCCUUUAUGGUGAAGUACAAUAUUAAAAUAAAUGAUCCACACUUCCCCAAAUAAAUUAUAAUAAACUCAUAGCGCACAGUACAGUUCCCAACUGUACAUGGAAAUAAUAUAAAACACUUGACACGUCCCACGUGUCAACUAAAAUUAGCAAGAGAGUUCCGGAAAAAAAUAAGUGGAACUCGAUAAUCCAACAAAAUAUUAUAUCUCCAAAUGCCUUUGAAAUUAAAUAACUUUAGCGCAUGCAUGAUAUUAAAAUCAAAUGUACUACUCACAGUGCUCGGCUAUGCUUGCCGACGGCCCGAGGCUUCCUCCAAAUGAUCCUCCUCACGUCCUGAACAAUAAAUAAUCAUUAAGCCUCCAAACCAGGACAAAACUUUAAUAAAAUUCCUGAAAUAAAAAGGAAGCCUAUAAUUUCAUUUCUCUUGCCCAACUUCUCCACAUUUUACCUAAUAAGGUUCACAUUACUCCGCACUUACCGAAAGCCAUAAUUUAACCUUUUUAGACUUUAAAACCUGCUAAACCAACUGCCGGAUUUCCAUUCGAAUAACCGCCUAAAUCCUUAAUCAUAGAUAAAUCCUAAACCUUAUCAAAUCUCCUCCAAAAAUUCCAAACUAUACUUCAUUAAACUCCUCUCAUUAAAACAACCCCAAAAAGCAUGAAAAACUGCCCCUAAGGGGCGGCGGCGGCGGCCGGCAGCCGUUUUCCGGCGACCUCCAAUGCUUCUCAAAUUUUCACAGAAUAUUCCUCUCAUCAUGGUCAACAACAUUCAUAACUAGCACUUAGUCCAUUUCUAAGGCUAACUAGGCCAAUGAAUCAAAACUUCCAUAAAUCCCUAAAAACUUCAAUUAUACAUUUCUCCAUAACAACAACGAAUAGACUAAUUCCUUUUGAGGGAAUACUCACCUUGAUGAGGGCUACGAAGAUGAGCCAAAGAUUCCGACCUAUGGUGGCCGGAGGUGGGAUUUCCGGCAAAAAGCUUCCCGACGACUCCGGCGAGUUUCUCCUCUUCCGGCGGGCUAACGGCUAAGGGGCUUGGCCGGGGAGNNNNNNNNNNNNNNNNNNNNNNNNNNNNNNNNNNNNNNNNNNNNNNNNNNNNNNNNNNNNNNNNNNNNNNNNNNNNNNNNNNNNNNNNNNNNNNNNNNNNNNNNNNNNNNNNNNNNNNNNNNNNNNNNNNNNNNNNNNNNNNNNNNNNNNNNNNNNNNNNNNNNNNNNNNNNNNNNNNNNNNNNNNNNNNNNNNNNNNNNNNNNNNNNNNNNNNNNNNNNNNNNNNNNNNNNNNNNNNNNNNNNNNNNNNAUUUUUACCAUCUCCAAAAAUUACUCUUUUAAAUCAUAACUUUUUCAUGCUAAUUCCGAUUUUUAACACAUAGCAUGUCUAUGAACUCGUAAUAACGUCCUCUACGACUUUUAUGAAGAAAGUUUUCCCAAAUUCCAAACACAAGAAAAAGUCAACUCUAGGGUCCUUAAGUGAUAAACGGUUACUUAACACGGUAAAAGACCAAAAUAAUACCAAAGUAAAUAACCGUAAAAUAACUUAAGAACCGGGGUGUGACAGCCUUGACCCACCUAGGGCAGCCAAGGUGCCGCCUUGACCCGCUAAGGGGCUGCUUUCACCCGUCUAAGGCUGCCAAGGGGCCACUUUGACACACUAAGGGGCUGCCUUGUCCUUCCUAGACCCACCUAGGGUCGCCUUGACCCGCCUUGGCCUGCUUUGGGCUGGCUUGACCCGCAUUGGGUUGUCCUAACCCGCCUUGGCCCACCUUGGGCCGCCUUGACACGACUAGGGCUGCCUUGGCCCGCCUUGACCAAUCUAGGGCUGCCUUGACCCGUUUUGCGUCACCUUGACCCAUCUAGGGCUGCUAAGAAGUCGCCUUAACCCAUCUAGGUCCACUAAGAGGCCACCUUAACCCAUCUAUGACCGCCAAGGGGCCGCGUUCACCCCUCUAAGGCCGCCAAGGGGCCGCGUUCACCCAUCUUGACCCACUAGGGGGCUGCCUUGACCUUCCUAGACCCGUCCAGGGCCGCCUUGACCCUCCAAGGCCCUCCUAAGCCUGCAUAGGACCACCAAGGGGCCGCCUUAUCCCCCCUUGACCCGCCUAAGACCACCAAAGAGCCGCCUUAACUUGCCUUGACCCGUCUACGGCCACCUUAGUCCGCCUUGACUCGUCUAGGGCUGCCUUUACCCGCCUUGGGCCGCCUUGACCCGCCUAGACCCUUUUCGGACCGCUAAGAGGCCGCCUUAACUCAUCUAGGUCCACUAAGAGGCCGCCUUAACCCAUCUAGGGUGGCUAAGGGGCUGCGUUCACCCGUUUAAGGCCACCAAAGGGCCACCUUGACCCGUCUUGGUCCACCUUGGGUUGCCUUGGGCCGCCUAGACCCUCCUAGGACCGCCAAGAUGCCACUUUAACCGAUCUAGGGCCACCAUGAGGCCUCCUUAACCCAUCUAGGGCCACCAAGUGCCCGCCUUGACCCGUCUAAAGCCGCUAAGGGGCCGCCUUGACCCGCUAAGGGUCUGCCUUGACCCGCUAAGGGUCUGCCUUGACCCGCCUUAACCCUUAUAGGGCCUCUUAUAUUACCUUGACCCGUCUAGGGCCGUCGUGACCUGCCUUAGGAUGCCUUGAGCCUCUUAGACCCUCCAAGGGCCGCCUUGACCUGCCUAGGGCUGCUAAGCAGCAGCCUUGACCCGCUUAGGUCCACUUAGGGCUUCCUUGACCCUCUUUGGCCUGCUUUGGGCUGCCUUGACCUGCCUUGGGCCGCCUUGACACGUCUAUGGCCGCCUUGACACGUCUAGGGCCGCCUUUACCCGUAUUCUGCCGCCUUUACCCAUCUAGGGCUGAUAAGAGGUCGCCUUAACCCAUCUAGGUCCAUUAAGAGGCCACCUUAACCCAUCCAUGACCACUAAGGUGCUGCGUUCACCUGUCUAAAGCCGCCAAGGGGCCGCGUUCACCCCUCAUGACUUGCCAGGGUGUCACACCCCGGUCCCGACAUCGGUGAGUUUUUUAAGCACCGGACUCCGAUCCCGAGGUGCGAGCAAGUGUUACAAAGCGGAAUUAAACAACAACACUAUCUUCUAGGCUUAUCGGCUACCCUUUCCCGGCUCGGACAAAUCUAAGUACUUCUCUGCAAAAAAUAUCAAAGAUUGGUGGGUGAGCAUAACCACGCGCUCAGUGAGUAGACCAAUGUAAUAUGCCCGCAAAGCCAUAUCAUUUUACACAUGCUACAAAAUAUGUAUAUUGUAUACACAUCACUUCACGCAAUUCAUCACAUCGCACAAUCCCUUCUUAUUGGAUAUCCUUCAAUUUAGUGAUCCCCACGGGAACCUAAUGACCUUCAUGUCCUAUACCUUCGUGUGUCACAUCCUUACUUCGGCAUAACCAAUCAAGAAGUUCACAUGUUCCAUGACUAGUCAAACAAUGGAUCCAACACAUAAUUAUAUAAACACCGCAUAUUUCACAAAUCGACAUGCUUCACUAUAAAAAUAGAGAUAUUUCGUAAAUAGAUCAAAUCAUGUUUUUCGACUAAUUUGAUAGCAAAUAAGAAUAUUUUAAAACAUAUUUCACAAAUCUACUCACCUCGUAAAUACGAAUCCCCACCAAGAACGUCGAUAGUAAAUCCAGCCUCCUAAAAUGAGCCAUCUAGAUUCACCGUUGGAUCUAGCUCAAACUUCUAGGAUAGGAAGAGGACAACGAUACAAACCUGUAGCCCUUCACGGAUUCAAAAUCAGAAUUACAAAUCAAAAGUUAUGAUCCGCCGAAGUUUAGUCGUAACUCUAGUGAGAGAAACAACUAGAGAGAGAAUUAACAAGCUGAGCAAUCAACCUAUUUAUAGGGGAAAUAGGCUGACAUUGAGGUUCGGUGGGGAAAGGUUGGUCCAAAGAAAAAUAGACACUUGUCCAUUAGAGAAGAAACAAACUCCACACUUUGACAAAUGUCCCAUGACAAGACCAAAUGCUAGCUAGCUGUGUCAAAGCAAUGCAGCCCUUAACUCUACACACAUCCAACCUAAUCAUGUCAUGUGGUACUAAACAACAAAUAGAAAGCUGCCAUGUCACCACUCGAACCAACUUCGACGGAAGUUCGAUGAAACUUAGAAAAAUUGUUAAAAAUAGCUAAAAACUCUGAAAAAAUUACCGAAAAAUACGACGAACUCAUGACGACCUCUAAUUUCUAUUUCUAAGAAGAAAAAUCAAUUUUGAGAAAUUUUAAAAUUCGGGAUGUUACACAGGGGGCUGCCUUGACAUUCUUAGACCCGCCUUAACCCUCCUAAGUCCGUCAAGAACCAUCAAGGGGCCGCUUUGACCCUCCAAGGCCCUCCUAGGCCCGCUUAGGGCCACCAAGGGGCCGCCUUAUCCUGCCUUGGCCGCCUUAACCCUCCUUGACCCUCUAGGGCCACCAAGGGACCACCUUUACCCGGCUAGGGCAGCCAAGGGGCCGCCUUGACCCGUUAAAGGCUGCCUUGACCUGCCUUGGGCUGCCUUGACCCUCCUAGGGCCAUUAAAAGGCGGCCUUAACCCAUCUAGGUCCAUUAAGAGGCCGCCUUAACCCAUUUAAGGCGGCCAAAAGGCCGCGUUCACCCGUCUAAGGCCGCCAAGGGGACACCUUGACUCGCCUUGGCCUGCCUUGACCCGCCUUAGGCCGCCUUGACCCUCCUAGGGCCUCUUGAGCCGCCUUGACUCUCCUAGGGCCGCCAAGAGGCCACCUUAACCGAUCUAGGGCUACAAUGAGGCAGCCUUCACCCAUCUAGGGCCACCAAGUGCCCGCCUUGACCUGUCUAAGGCCGCUAAAGGGCCGCCUUCACUCGCUAUGGGUUUGCCUUGACCCGCUUUAGCCUGCCUUGACCCCCUUGGCCCACCUUGGCCUGCCUUGACCCGGCUAAGGCCACAAAGGGCCCGCCUUCACCCGGCUAAGGUGUCGCCUUCACCCGCUAAGGGUCUACUUUGACCCGCUAAGGGUCUACUUUGACUCGCUUUGGGCUGCCUUGACCCUCUUUGUCCCCCCUUGCGCUGCCUUCACAUGUCUAGGGCCGCCUUGACCUGCUAUGGGCCGCCUUGACCCGUCUAGGGGCGCCUUUACCUGCCUUGGCCCGCCUUGACCCGCCUUGGGCUGCCUUGACCCGCCUAGGACCGCUAAGAGGCCACCUUAGCCCAUCUAGGUCCACUAAGAGGCCGCCUUAACCCGUUUAAGCCCGUCAAGGGGCUACCUUGACCCGCCUUGGGCUGCCUUGACCCGUCUUGAUCCGCCUUAGGCUGCCUUGACCCGCCUUAACCCGCCAUGGGCCGCCUUUAUCUAGAGCCGCUAAGAGGUCGCCUUAACCCAUCUAGGUCCACUAAGAGGCCACCUUAACCCAUUUGUGGACGUCAAGGGGACGCGUUCACCUGUCGAAGGCCGCCAAGGGGCCGCGUUCACCCAUUUUGACCCGCCCGCCAGGGGCUGCCUUGACCUUCCUAGACCUGCCCAAGGCCACCUUGCCUCUCCUAGGCCCGCCUAUAACCACCAAGGGGCCGCCUUGACACUCCAAGUUUCACACCCCGAAUUUUGGAUAAAUAAAAAAUCCAAAUUCAAGGCAUGAUAACCAAAAAGAAAAAAACAAUCAAUACAACAAUUUAGUUUUACAACUUGUGGAAAAUAAUUUGAACAAAGUAAAACCUCCCUCAAAACUCACUGAAAUCUAGAAAGUAAACAAAAGGAACAAUGUCUAUCUGCCGCAGCCUCAACUCUGCUAAAUCUGACCUGCAAAAACAACCUCUACACCAUGGAUUGGUGCACCGGGUUGUAAACAACAAACCCGGUAAGCUUUAAAAGCUCGUAUGAGUAAAUCUACAAUAAAAGACUCAACCCAACAUCACAUAUGAAUAAAACUGGAAAUUCCUGCAUUAAUAACUUAGUUCAUGCAUCACCUAAAAGCAAGAGAAAUCCAGAAGAAAUAAUUAAGAGAACACAACAAUUCAAAAUCAUAAAUGAAUCCUGCAAAAAGCGUAGUUCAGGAAUCCACUAAAAAUCACACAAAUAAAAUUAAAGAAUCUCCUGCAUUAAACAUAGUUCAUGAGAUACUUAAAACAAGGAAUUUAAAUGACAACAAUAAAGAACAAUAAAGAACAUCACGCAAAUCAUUUCUCCACUCUUACUUAUGAGUUCGUCAACGCAUAGUCAUCCCCUAUAAGUAACUAGACAAACACAUACUCAUGGGUUCGUCAACACAUAGUCAUCCCCCAUGAAGUAUUGACAGACUAGAGCUCUAUACUGACCGUAACCAAUCCCCCGAUCAAAGCUUGGUUCCUGGUCCACCCACGAAGGCUCCUAAUCUAAUGCACAGAAUCACCACUAAGGCACACAUCCACAACUAAUGCACAACAAUAACCACUAAGACACAACCACAAUUAAUGCACACAAUCACCACAAAGGCAUACAACCACAACUAAUGCACAACAAUCACCACUAAGGCACACCCACAAUUAAUGCACACAAUCACCACAAAGGCACACAACCACAACUAAUGCACAACAAUCACCACUAAGACACACAUCCAAUUAUAACCCAUGAUCAGAAGUCCUUUUGAGAGAUUUUAUUUUUAUCAGAAAACAUAUUUUCACUUACCCAUGAGCUGUUGGCGAUCAAGCUCAUUUAUAUUAAAAAAAAACAAAAUCAUUUUCUUUCAAGGACAACUUCACAAUUAGCAAUAAUAAACUAUAAAAUAAACUGGGUUCCUUUAUGAACCUAUGUGAGAUUUACUCACAAUAUAGUAUUAUCAUCAUCAUCAUCAAAAUCAUUUAUCAUCAACAUUAUCAUCAUAAUAAUUAUCAAAAUCAUUAUCAUCAUCAUUAAACUUAUCAUCAUAAUCGUCAUCAUAACAAUUAUCAUCAUCAUCAUCAUCAUCAUCAUCAAAAUUACCAUCAUAAUCAUCAUCAAAAUCACCAUCAUAAUCAUCAUUAAACUCAACAUCACAAUCAUCAUUAUAAUCAUCAUCAACAUAAAUAGGUCAUAAAGUGGACCUUGGUGAGAUUUUACUCACAAUAUAGUAAUAUCAUCAUCAUCAAAAUCAUCAUCAACAUCAUCAUCAUAAUAAUUAUCAAAAUCAUUAUCAUCAUCAUCAUUAAACUCAUCAUCAUAAUAGUCAUCAUAACAAUUAUCAUCAUAAUCAUCAUCAAAAUCACCAUCAUAAUCCUCAUUAAACUCAACAUCACAAUCAUCAUUAUAAUCAUCAUCACAAUCAUCAUCAUAAUCAUCAUCAAAAUAAAUAGGUCACAAAGUGGACAUUUGUGAGAUUUUACUCACCUUUACUCCUGCUGCGUCUUCACACAACACAAGCGUCUAGCUCAAAACUAAACUCCACAAGUCACCCUAUUAACAAAAACGUUAACCUUAGUAACUGACAAAUACGACUUUUACACUUGUUUUCAUAAGUUCAACAUGACAACCAACCACUAACACUUUCAGACGUGCCGCCACAGGCAGAGGCGUGUGGGCCCCACACGCCCCUUAAGAACUUCACUAAACCCUAACAUGCAUAAGCAACUCUGAAAACUACACUCAAUAUGCUCACGUGCUCGUAUCGACGAGCACAACCUAACAAAGACUACAGACCUCCCAAUCCCCUCCCGGACGCGCCACCACCAACGGUAGCAAGUGGGCCCCACGCGUCACCAUACAACCUUGCAACAAAAGCACACCUACUAUACCCAACAUGAACAACAAGGCAAGGAGAGCAAUUUUCAUACCUAGAGUAACCGCCAAAUCAGUCGGAGCACGCUGGAAAACUGGGUAUGCAAUGCCCCUUCCCCCACACUUCAACUAACGUUGUCCUCAACGUUGAAAGAAUUAAAGUAUGCAAUGCACAUAAAAGCAUGGAAGAAAGAUGCGAAAAAUAAAAGCAUGAAAGUAAAGAGAAGAGUUUAGAGCUCCCUGGGAUUUAGUGAUGAAUUGCACGAUGCCGAUGUUGUCGAAAAGAUUGCCAAAGUUUUUGGAAAAAUUUGAUCCUCGAAUCGGACAGUGCAAACGACUGAAUUCAAUAGAAAUUUGUCGGGGCUCAUUGCAUAGCAAUGAGUCUUGUAGAUCUCGUCGUUCCACUCAAAAUCGACAUAUUACACGUCAGAAACGGACACUUCUGCUGAAAGUUAUCACCACACGAAUUUCACAGUUAAAACUGACAACUUUUAUCCGAGAUACCCAAAAUAUCCAAAAUAGCAGCUUCCUUGAGAUUCCAGCAGCAAGCAUCCUAUUUAUACGAGAAUUUCCAAUUCUCCAAAUACUUGUCUCACAGAUGCAAUACUUCCUCCUUUUGAUCUUUUUCUUGUAACAUCAUUCCCUCUUGUUGGCAUCAUCAAUUGAGUAGAACAUCAUCAAUUGUAAAGGAGGUGGCCAUGGAGGUUUGAGUGAUUGUGGGAGGAACUUAUCCUUAAACUGCAGCUUGGGAACACACAACUCAAGUCUUGAAAUUGGAAGAAUGUGAGGAACCUUGGAGGGUGAAGAAGGCAUGAACUCACAAACUUGGUGCUUCGUGGACUCUUGAAAAUCGGGUGCAUCAUCUAGUAUGGUGGUUGCUUCAUCAAAGGCAUCAGCUGUAUGAGUUAUCGCAACUUCUUCAAAUUAAAUUUCCUCCUUGGAUUCUUUGUCAUUUCGCUCGUUAACGCAUAUCUCCAUGGGAAUCUCGCUCUCUUGUGGUCCGCUAAUAUAUCUUUCAUCCUCUUCUUCCCAAGCAUUAGCAAACCGCCAAAUUUGAGCUUCAAUUUCAGAAAGUGUUUGUGCAAGCUUGGAUUGCCUUUCUUCAAGCUUUAAUUGAUCAUGUCUAAGCAUUUCAACCUCUUGAUCAUACUUCUCUGAUCUCCUCAAAAGUUCAAACACCAUCUCCUUGAUAGAAGGUUCUUCUUGUUGAUAUAUUGGAGCUUGAUAAGGUGUUGGAGCCCAUUGUCUAGCUUUAUAGUUGGAAGUGCUUGACCAAGAGUAGAACGGAUAAUCUCCCCAUCCACGAUUAUGAUCAUAUGAGUUGCAGUUGUAUGCUUGCUCAGAAUCAUAUCCAAAGUAAGCCAUAAAAAUCACUUUUGCACCUUGAACACAAUCUGUCAAAUUUCCGCGCAGACUGAGCACUGUUUGGUAUUUCACAAAUAUCUCUUAGCUCAGAACUCCAAAUGAUGAUCCGUUUGAUACGUUGGAAACUAGACUCGUUUAGCUCUCUAGUGAUAUAUAACAAUCCUGCAAAAAUAUGAAAUUAUCAGUUCGUAAUAAGCGUUUCAAAACAGUUGUAGAACACAUAAGAAACAGAAAAACUAGACUGAUUUCUUAAACACACUUCUGACACAAAACGACACAAAAUUCUAAAACUAAACCACACUGAAUAAACUAGAAUUAGAAUAGGAAUCCAGAAUUUAAAUUAAACUAAAUAAUCCCCGGCAACGGCGCCAAAAACUUGAUGGAUUUCCUGUAAGUAUACAGGGUGGAUGUAGUAUAGUGAAACGGAAGAGAAAGGGUUAUCGUUCCCACGAGGAUAUUUGUUCAAUUUAAAUUAUGAAAUACCUAAACUAACUAUACUAAAACACACAAAUCACGAUAACAAUUUAAAGAAACAAAGAAAGAAUAAAAUAAGUAAACAAAUAAUGAUAAAUGAAUCUAGGGCGUCAGAAUCAACCACUAACAAUCCUAUUUAUGCUUUGAUGUAACUAACAAACUCUUUCGUUUCUCUAGAUGACAAUUCCCUUAUCUAAGUCUAGUUACGGCACUUAGACCAUGGUUUUCCUUAAGUGUAUGAUUCUCUCCAGGUACGACAGAGGUCGUAUAUCCUAGCAUGCAGUCUAUCCAGUUACGGCAUAAAUUUAAUAUGUAAGACUCAUUACGUUCUAGAAAACAAGAGAAUUAUGCAAACCAUUACUUCAGUUACGACAAUAAUGUAAUUCACAACUCUUAAUCACAAAAAGCUAAUUUGAAUUAUAUUGCAGUUAUGCCUCAAAUUCAUCUUCUAAUUACUAGAUGCAAAGCCCUAAGGUGAUCAAUCAAAGAACCCAAACAUAUAUCAUCAAUUAAAAUAGUGACUAAGAAUUCAUCAUAAAGAAACUAUAAAUCAAUUAAUCAAUCAUCAAAAACAUAAACAAUGAUACUAUAGCAUCAUCCUAACCCUAGAAAAUGUUUAACAAAACAUCAUAACUAAAUAACACACAACGAAAACAUAAAAAUAAUGGAAAGGUGAAGGGUAGAUGGAUCUCUGCUCCUUUAGGCGUCUACAACAUGCUUCUGAGACCCCCUCCCCCCCCCCCCCCCCCCCCUUCCCAUGUGAAAUUCGUGCUCUUUUAUAUAGACAAGUUUCCUACUCAUCUUUGGCUUCAUAUUUCCUUGUAAGACUUGGAUUCAGACUCCUUUUCUUGAUAUGGAAUGGGAAAACCUUGAGAUAUCUCUUGUAGAAUUAGGAAUAUAUGUACUCCUUGAAUCCUUAUCUGCUAUAUUGUCCUUAAAGCUUUAGGGUUGACGAUCUUGUGCAACGAAACUUGAGUUCUUCACAAAAGCUUGUAAUUCCAAGCAGAUUUGCUGAUCUGACCUUUCUUCAUUCAAACGAUCAUAACUCAGUCUAGAAGUAUCGAAAUCGAGAUCCGUAAAAUUCUAUAGAAAAUAGACAUCUGUAGCUUUCCAAUGAUAUAAGGCUCAUAAUCUGAUUCGAUCUCAGUAAUUCGGCGAAGUUGGAUGUUCUGCCCAGGCAGAUUUUAGGACUUGGGAUUGUAGUCGUCUUUCAAUCCUUAUUUGCGCAUUUUAUCUCUUUUUCUUCUCUCUAUGACACAAACCUUCAAGAACACUAAAAUAACAUAAAUAAGUCAUAAAGAAGAUAACUAAAUACAAAUCUCAAGCAUAAAAGGCUUAGAAAUAUAGGAUAAUAUGAGCAUAUCAAAAAUUGGCCGGAAAGUUAUAAUCCACCCACCGUAACUCUACGUCGUGAGUCGAGCUUCAAGACCAUCAUAAGUCGAACCAGGGCGCCCAACACUUCCUAUCCCUACCGGUUUUAAGCCUCGUCGCCACCGCCGGAGGUAGGAAUCCCGACCGGUCCUCCACCCGAAACUUCUAGGCUUCGAUUCGCACGAACCAUCAUGAAUCGGAGCAAGCCACCACCACAAGUAAGGAUGCGCCACCGAGAUGAAGCGUCUCCAACCGGUGCCGUCGGUCGGAGUUGGCUGAAAAAACCGGGUCCGGGUCGGGUCAGCUGGAGAAUUUGGAUUCUCUCGGGGUCAGGAAGAGAGAAGGAGAGGGGAAGAAAUGUGAUUUUGAAAAAAUGAGGACCCAAAACAAAAUUUUCCUAUUUAACCUAAAUAUUCCUGAAAAGUCACAACUUCCGCUGACCAUAACUUUCUCAUACGAAGUCUGUUUUAUGCGUGUCGCGUGUCUACGAACUUGUAUCGUCGUGCUCUACAACUUUCGUGAAGGAAGUUUCUCGAGAAACCCAACGAAUAAAAAGUCAACUCUAAGGCUGCUAAGGGGUCGCCUUCACUCGCUAUAGGUCUGCCUUGGCCCGCUUUGGGCUGCCUUAACUCGCCUUGGGCUGCCUUGACUCGGCUAAGGCCACAAAGGUGCCGCCUUCACCUAGCUAAGGCCGCAAGGUGUCGCAUUGACCCGCUAAGGGUCUGCCUUGACCUGCUUUGGGCUGUCUUGACCCUUCUUGGCCACCCCUUGCGCUGCCUUGACACGUCUAGGGCCACCUUGACCUGUUAUGGGCUGCCUUGACCUGUCUACGGCCGAUUUGGGCCGUCUUGACCCAUCUAGGGGCACCUUGACCCGCCUUAACCUGCCUUGGCCCGCCUGGACCCGCCUUGGGCUGCCUUGACCCGCCUAGACCCUCCUAGGGCCGCUAAGAGGCCGCCUUAGCCCAUCUAGGUCCACUAAGAGGCCGCCUUAACCCAUCUAGGGCGGCCAAGGGGCCGCGUUCACCUGUUUAAGACCGCCAAAGGGCCACCUUGGGCUGCCUUGACCCAUUUUAGGCCGCCUUGGGCUGUCUUUAUCUAGGGCCUCUAAGAGAUCGUCUUAACCCAUUUAGGUCCACUAAGAGGCCACCUUAACCCAUCUAUGGACGCCAAGGGCCGCGUUCACCCGUCGAAGGCCGCCAAGGGGGCCGCGUUUACCCAUUUUGACUUGCCAGGAGCUGCUUUGACCUUCCUAGACCCACCCAAGGCCGCCUUGCCCCUUCUAGGCCCUCCUAGGCCCGCCUAAACCACCAAGGGGCCGACUUGACCCUCCAAGGCCCUCCUAGGCCCGCUUACGGCCACUAAGGGGCCGCCUUUACCUGUUUUGGGCUACCUUGACCCGCCUUGACUCGUCUUGUGCCGCCUUAACCUGCCUUGGGCCCCCUUGACCCGUCUNNNNNNNNNNNNNNNNNNNNGCCUAGACCAUCCUUGGGCCGCUAAGAGGCCGCCUUAGCCCAUCUAGGUCCACUAAGAGGACGCCUUAACCCAUCUAGAGCGGCCAAGGGGCCGCGUUCACCCGUUUAAGCCUGCCAAGGGGCCACCUUGACCCGCCUUGGCCCACCUUGACCCCCUUAGGCCGCCUUGAUCCGCUUUGGGCCGCCUUGACCCGCCUUGGCCAACCUUGACCCGCCUUAGGCCUCCUUGACCCUCCUAGGGCCUCUUAAACCGCCUUAACUCUCCUAGGGUCUCCAAGAGGCCGCCUUAACCGAUCUAGGGCUACCAUGAGGCCGCCUUCACCCAUUUAGGACCACUAGGUUCCCGCCUUGACCCGUCUAAGGCUGCUAAGGGGGUCGCCUUCACUCGCUAUAGAUCUACCUUGGCCCGCUUUGGGCUGCCUUGACUCGGCUAAGGCCACAAAGGUGCCGCCUUCACCUAGCUAAGUCCGCAAGGUGUCGCCUUGACCCGAUAAGGGUCUGCCUUGACCGGCUUUGGGUUGCCUUGGUCACCCCUUACGCUACCUUGACAAGUCUAGGGCCACAUUGACCUGUUAUGGGUUGCCUUGACCCGUCUACGGCCGAUUUGGGCCGUCUUGACCCAUCUGGGGCACUUUGACCUGCCUGGACCCGCCUAGACCCUCCUAGGGCCGUUAAGAGGCCGCCUUAGCCCAUCUAGUUCUACUAAGAGGCCGCCUUAGCCCAUCUAGGUCUACUAAGAGGCCGCCUUAACCCAUCUAGGGCGGCCAAAGGGCCGCGUUCACCUGUUUAAGCCCGCCAAAAGGCCACCUUGGCCCAACUUGGGCUGCCUUGACCCAUCUUAGGCUGCCUUGGGUCGUCUUUAUCUAGGGCCGCUAAGAGAUCGCCUUAACCCAUCUAGGUCCACUAAGAGGCCACCUUAACCCAUCUAUGGACGUCAAGGGCCGCGUUCACCCGUCGAAGGCCGCCAAGGGCCGCGUUCACCCAUUUUGACUUGACAGGAGCUGCCUUGACCUUCCUAGGCCCGCCCAAGGCCGCCUUGCCCAUUCUAGGCCCUCCUAGGCCUGCCUAAACCACCAAGGGGCCGACUUGACCCUUCAAGGCCCUCCUAGGCCCGCCUACGGCAACUAAGGGGCCGCCUUUGCCUGCUUUGGGCUGCCUUGACCCGCCUUGGGCCGCCUUUACCAGUCUACGGCCGCCUUGGGCUGCCUUGACUCGUCUAGUGCAGCCUUAACCUGCCUUUACCCACCUUGGGCCGCCUAGACCCUCCAAGGGCCACUAAGAGGCCGCCUUAGCCCAUCUAGGUCCACUAAGAGGCCGCCUUAACACAUCUAGGGCGGCUAAGGGGCCGCGUUCACCCGUUUAAACCCACUAAGGGGCCACCUUAACCCGCCUUGGCCCACUUUGGGCCGCCAUGACCCGCCUUGACCCGUCUUGACCCGUCUUAGGCCGUCUUGACCCUCCUAAGGCCUCUUGAACCGCCUUAACUCUCCUAGGGCCGUCAGGAGGCCGCCUUAACCGAUCUAGGGCUACCAUGAGGCCGCCUUCACCCAUGUAGAACCACUAGGUGCCCGCCUUGACCCGUCUAAGGCUGCUAAGGGGUCGCCUUCACUUGCUGUAGGUCUGCCCUUGCCCGCUUUGGGCUGUCUUGACUCGGCUAAGGCCACAAAGGUGCCGCCUUCACCUGGCUAAGGCCGCAAGGUGCCUCCUUGACCCGCUAAGGGUCUGCCUUGACCCGCUUUGGGCUGCCUUGACCCUCCUUGGCCACCCCUUACGCUGCCUUGACACAUCUAGGGCCACCUUGACCUGUUAUGGGCUGCCUUGACCCGUCUACGGCCGAUUUGGGCCGUCUUGACCCAUCUAGGGGCGCCUUGACCCGUCUUAACCUGCCUUGGCCCGCCUGGACCCGCCAUGGGCUGCCUUGACCCGCCUAGACCCUCCUAGGGCCGCUAAGAGGCCAUCUUAGCCCAUCUAGGUCCACUAAGAGGCCGCCUUAACCCAUCUAGGGCGGCCAAGGGGUCGCAUUCACCUGUUUAAGCCUGCCAAAGGGCCACCUUGGCCCGACUUGGGCUGCCUUGACCCAUCUUAGGCCGCCUUGGGCCGCCUUUAUCUAGGGCCGCUAAGAGAUCGCCUUAACCUAUCUAGGUCCACUAAGAGGCCACCUUAACCCAUCUAUAGACGCCAAGGGCCGCGUUCACCCAUUUUGACUUGCCAGGAGCUGCCUUGACCUUCCUAGACCCGCCCAAGGCCGCCUUGCCCCUCCUAGGCUCUCCUAGGACUGCCUAAACCACCAAGAGGCCUACUUGACCCUCCAAGGCCCUCCUAGGCCCGCCUACGGCCACUAAGGGGCCGCCUUUGCUUGCUUUGGGCUGCCUUGACCCACCUUGGGCCACCUUUACCCGUCUACGGCCACCUUGGGCUGCCUUGACUCGUCUAGUGCAGCCUUAACCUGCCUUUACCCACCUUGGGCUGCCUAGACCCUCCAAGGGCCACUAAGAGGCCGCCUUAGCCCAUCUAGGUCCACUAAGAGGCCGCCUUAACCCGCCUUGGCCCACCUUGGGCUGCCUUGACCCGCCAUGGGCCGCCUUGACCCAUCUUGACCCGCCUUAGGCCGCCUUGACCCUCCUAAGGCCUCUUGAACCGCCUUAACUCUCCUAGGGCCGCCAAGAGGCCGCCUUAACCGAUCUAGGGCUACCAUGAGGCCGCCUUCACCCAUUUAGGACCACUAGGUGCCCGCCUUGACCCGUCUAAGGCUGCUAAGGGGGUCGCCUUCACUCGCUAUAGGUCUGCCUUGGCCCGCUUUGGGCUGCAUUGACCCUCCUUGGCCCCUCUUGCGCAGCCUUGACACGUCUAGGGCCACCUUGACCCGUCUACGGCCACUUUGGGCCGUCUUGACCCGUCUAGGGGCGCCUUAACCCGCCUUUACCUGCUUUGGCCCGCCUUUACCCGCUUUGGGCUUGCUUGACCCGCCUAGACCCUCAUAGGGCUGCUAAGAGGCUGCCUUAGCCCAUCUUGAGCUGCUUUGACCCGCAUUGGGUCUCCUUGACCCGCCUUUACCCUCCUAGGGCCACUAAGAGGCCGCCUUAACCCUUCUAGGGCGGCCAAGGGCCCACGUUCACCCGUUUAAGGCCGCCAAGGGGACACCUUGACCCUCAUAGGCCGCCUUGACCCGUCUAGGGUCGUAUUGACCGCCUAGGGCCUCUUGGGCCGCCUUGACCCUCCUAGGCCCUCCUAGACCUGCCUAGGACCACCUUGACCCGCCUUGGCCUGCUUUGGGCUGACUUAACCCACCAUGGGCUUCCUUGACCCGGCUACGACCGCUUUGGGCCGCCUUUAGUCGCCCUGACCCUCAUAGACCCUCCUUGGGCCGCUAAGAGGCCGCCUUAGCCCAUCCAGGUCCACUACGAGGCCGCCUUAACCCAUCUAGGGAGGCCAAGAGGCCGCGUUCACCCAUUUAAGCCCGCCAAGGGGUCACCUUGAUCCGCCUUGGCCUGGCUUGGGCUGCCUUAACCCGCCUUAACCUGCUUUGGGCUGCCUUUGGCCGACUUGACCCGCUUUGGGCCGCCNNNNNN